Molecule: transfer RNA, 72 nt
Filed under: Ovis aries (sheep)
Lineage: Eukaryota; Metazoa; Chordata; Mammalia; Artiodactyla; Bovidae
Also listed under: 1 other name
Rfam family: tRNA
About the family: Transfer RNA (tRNA) molecules are approximately 80 nucleotides in length.
Source: Rfam by way of RNAcentral
UCCCUGGUGGCUCAGAGGGUAAAGCGUCUGCCCGCAAUGCAGGAGACCUGGGUUUGAUCCCUGGGUCGGGAA